AAAUGCUACGCUUUUUCAUAGGAUACAUGGCUGGUUAUAUUGACAUUACCGUUUGCAUCAUUCAUCUGUCUUGCUAUUCUAAAAGUUCCAAAGGGAAUGGGAUGCCACUGUACAGUGAUAGAGGAUUGCCCCCAUGAUGGGUUUAGGUGGUAACUCAAUCAACUUGAGAUCCCAGGUUCAACUUCCAUCAUUAGUUUUUAAAAAGGUGGUCUGUGUACGUUCCUUAAGCUUUGGAGUGGGAGUUUCUCCACACGUGUAAGAGCUGCGCCGGAUUUUCAAUGAAUUCCUUGUCGGGCAGCAUUCUACAUUUGUUAUGAGUUGUGACUUUCUCUUGAACUGAAAAUAUGAUGCAUUACUUCACC
Populus euphratica (Euphrates poplar) is the source of this 362-nucleotide long non-coding RNA. RefSeq lists it as uncharacterized. The record is from RefSeq and is a predicted model, not a curated record. NCBI's taxonomy places the organism in Eukaryota, Viridiplantae, Streptophyta, Magnoliopsida, Malpighiales, Salicaceae. The transcript has 2 exons.